UUUCCGUAGGUGAACCUGCGGAAGGAUCAUUAUUGAAUGCAACACCCUUGGCUUUCAACUGUUCAGCUGGCUCUUCGGGCACCGUUCACAUCGCCCUGGCCACUUGUUCCUCCUGUCCCACCUGUGCACUGCCUGUAGCCACGCUGCGUCCAUGCUCUUUGUUAACACCCAACACUGCUUGUUGGCUUGUUAUAUAUAAAAAUAAAAUAUACAUCUAUCUACAAAGGAUCUCUUGCCUGUCUCAUCGAUGAAGAAAGAAGCCAACCGGACGAGAAAAUA
This 279-nucleotide unclassified non-coding RNA is filed under the name plant metagenome. RNAcentral's name for it is "partial contains small subunit ribosomal RNA, internal transcribed spacer 1, and 5.8S ribosomal RNA". The record is from RNAcentral.